RNAcentral lists this ribosomal RNA (254 nucleotides) under uncultured bacterium. RNAcentral's name for it is "partial 16S ribosomal RNA". It matches the Rfam family "Bacterial small subunit ribosomal RNA", at positions 524 to 776 of the family's 1533-position model. The record is from RNAcentral.
CACGUAGGGUGCGAGCGUUGUCCGGAAUUAUUGGGCGUAAAGAGCUCGUAGGCGGUGUGUCGCGUCGGCCGUGAAAACCUGCAGCUUAACUGUGGGCUUGCGGUCGAUACGGGCAUCACUGGAGUUCGGUAGGGGAGACUGGAAUUCCUGGUGUAGCGGUGAAAUGCGCAGAUAUCAGGAGGAACACCGGUGGCGAAGGCGGGUCUCUGGGCCGAAAUUGACGCUGAGGAGCGAAAGCGUGGGGAGCAAACAGG